Molecule: ribosomal RNA, 477 nt
Filed under: uncultured soil bacterium
Lineage: Bacteria
Description: bacterial SSU rRNA
Rfam family: Bacterial small subunit ribosomal RNA
Source: RNAcentral
AGGACGAACGCUGGCGGCGUGCUUAACACAUGCAAGUCGAGCGGUAAGGCCUUUCGGGGUACACGAGCGGCGAACGGGUGAGUAACACGUGGGUGAUCUGCCCUGCACUUCGGGAUAAGCCUGGGAAACUGGGUCUAAUACCGGAUAUGACCUCAGGUUGCAUGACUUGGGGUGGAAAGAUUUAUCGGUGCAGGAUGGGCCCGCGGCCUAUCAGCUUGUUGGUGGGGUAAUGGCCUACCAAGGCGACGACGGGUAGCCGACCUGAGAGGGUGACCGGCCACACUGGGACUGAGACACGGCCCAGACUCCUACGGGAGGCAGCAGUGGGAAUAUUGCACAAUGGGCGAAAGCCUGAUGCAGCGACGCCGCGUGAGGAUGACGGCCUUCGGGUUGUAAACCGUCUUCGGCAGGGACGAAGCGCAAGUGACGGUACCUGCAGAAGAAGCCGAACCGGCUAACUACGUGCCAGCAGCCGAC